This 253-nucleotide ribosomal RNA is filed under the name uncultured bacterium. RNAcentral's name for it is "partial 16S ribosomal RNA". It matches the Rfam family "Bacterial small subunit ribosomal RNA", at positions 524 to 776 of the family's 1533-position model. The record is from RNAcentral.
UACGACGGGGUCUAGCGUUGUUCGGAAUCACUGGGCGUAAAGCGCACGCAGGCGGAUCGAUAAGUCGGGGGUGAAAGCCCGGGGCUCAACCUCGGAAUUGCCUUCGAUACUGUCGGUCUCGAGUCCGGGAGAGGUGAGUGGAAUCCCUAGUGUAGAGGUGAAAUUCGUAGAUAUUAGGAAGAACACCAGUGGCGAAGGCGGCUCACUGGCCCGGUACGGACGCUCAGGUGAGAAAGCGUGGGGAGCAAACAGG